GAGGAGAGCGCUUGUCCCAGGUCCCUACCAGGUGCCCGUAGACGUCGGCAGGCUGGAGGUAGAAGGUGGAGUUGAGCAGCUCUUCCAGCCUGCGCGGAACGUCGUUCUCCCGGUAGUACUCCAUCGCCUGCUGCUUCAGCUUCUGCAGCUCCCUAGUGGUCCCACAGCUGCGGCCGCCGCCUUCUUCCUCCAUGAUGGAGAGUGUUGGCGUGUACGGAUUCUGUGGGUGUAAAGCAAAGAACAAAAUGAAGUGUGAUUCAAGGUGGGAAAUAGCCGCUUCAGCUCCCCCAGGCUGCAGCAGCUACCACACAAAGAAGCAGUCCUAUGGCAAUGACAGGACAUCUGUGUCCAGGAUUUGGAUUUGACGAACUGGCAGUUCCUGCAGGGAUGACGGUACUCCCUAGUUGUGUCUGAAUUGGACGCACCAGCACUUGAGCACACACAAAUGCACGUGAACAGACGGAACAUGUUAUGGGCCUGUUAGCCAAGGAAUGACAGAAUUAAUCCAUGGGCAUUUGCGGCCAGUGUUGUGUUAAACUAAAGGGAAAAAGUGAACUGGAAAAAGCAAUGUUUGUU
RNAcentral lists this long non-coding RNA (576 nucleotides) under Pan troglodytes (chimpanzee). RNAcentral describes it as "long non-coding RNA NONPTRT002364". Lineage: Eukaryota; Metazoa; Chordata; Mammalia; Primates; Hominidae. The record is from RNAcentral.